GGGGCUGAUUCAGGAUUCGACAGAAUAUUUGAAACCCUAGGAGCAUGCCGUGGGGCGGUUGGCCACGUAAAAAGCCGCAAAAAAAUAGUCGCAAACGACGAAAACUACGCACUAGCAGCCUAAUACGCUGUGUAGUGCCUACCUCUGAAGCCCCGCUUGCUGGCUGAAGAUCAAAGGUAGUCAAACCCUGCAUGAUCGCGUGGACUCUUUGUCGGGAGAGAAAGCGUUAAAACUAAUCCGACUCACCCGAUAGAACCCUGUCUCUGGGGGUCUUGAAAGGUUAAAUAAAUCAGUGACUAAGCAUGUAGUGCCGACGGCGUAGAUGUUUUGGACGCGGGUUCAAAUCCCGCCAGCUCCACCA
Molecule: transfer-messenger RNA, 361 nt
Filed under: Ferrimonas lipolytica
Lineage: Bacteria; Pseudomonadati; Pseudomonadota; Gammaproteobacteria; Alteromonadales; Ferrimonadaceae
Description: Standard tmRNA
Rfam family: transfer-messenger RNA
About the family: Bacterial tmRNA, also known as 10Sa RNA or SsrA, is named for its dual tRNA and mRNA-like properties. Its role is to liberate the mRNA from a stalled ribosome. To accomplish this part of the tmRNA is used as a reading frame that ends in a translation stop signal.
Source: Rfam by way of RNAcentral